Molecule: long non-coding RNA, 7156 nt
Organism: Mercenaria mercenaria
Lineage: Eukaryota; Metazoa; Mollusca; Bivalvia; Venerida; Veneridae
Exons: 10
Source: RefSeq, a predicted model, not a curated record
UUCCAGGUUGCUAUGUUGGCAUUAUUGCAUAGAUGAGAGACCAUCCAUGAUUCAAACACAUCAUCGACUGACGUGGUUUCAGAUUUGGAGCAGGAAGGGAUUACCGUGAACACUUACCACCACAUCUUGGCAAUGGUAUGUAUGGAUGACCGACGUUUAGAUGUUCAAAGUUUUACAACGAUUUUGGAGCAUAUAGGGGUUACCAUUGAAACGUACCUCAAUAUCUAGGCAAUGGUAUAUUGGAUGGGCAACGUUCAGAUGUACAAAGUCAUACAGCAGAUUUUAGAGCAUAUAAGAAUGCUGGGGUAUGUGUACUUGAAGAAAAAAGACGCAGACGGACUUGGAGAUGCAGACCAAGCAAAAUGUGCGUUUAUCUUUAUGAUGAACAGUAAUUCUGGAGCGUAGGAAUGUGCAUUCAACUUCUAGCUAUGGUGAAAGUAAAACUCGAAGUAUCGGACAAGAAACUCAAAACUAUUCGAUGAGAAACUCAGGCUAUCAGACGAGGAACCCGAACUAUCCAACAAGAAGCAGUUUCCUGUACCAUACACGAAGAAAAUAUAGUUCAUGGAACUACAGUUGUCGUAGAAUUGCCUUGCUGGUACUAAAAAAAUGCCGAUAACCAGAGGGGCACUGGUAGCCAAUCGAUGUCGCUCAUCAGAGUUGUUCUGGAACCCUUAUGUCAACAUAGUAAUCAACUGUUCUUGACAAGUAGACGACACUUGCUGCUUCUACCAGAUGACGCCAAUGGCGGAAGAAGGGACCCGAUGCCUGGAGUAACUUUGCAGUAUAAAAUUUUGCACUGUUCGAUUGGUCAAGAUAGAGAGGUUUUAGUGGAAUUCAGCCCUUGAUGAACAUGUCGUCUGUAUUUGCCCUGUCCUCUGUGGACAGAGAGCUCUUCCACACCUCGUGCACAUAUCAGAAUCCGCGAGGUAGGCGACGAAUUUAUUCAGGUUUAAAACUACAGGAAGACAGUGUUUUACAUUGUUGAAAGACAAAGAAAAAGAAUCGAUUCCAGAACGUGCCGUCCUGUGUUUGUUGUUUUCGACAGUUGAGGGGAGAGUCCGGUGCAUGCCAGAUACUAUCUAUUGAUAUCAAACACUCUGGUGAGAAAUAUAUGCAGAAGAAAGAACCAAGUAUGAUGAAUCCACGACAGACCUGGCGCAAGCAUACAGCAUGACACCACUACAGCCGUCAUGACAAAAGCAUAGUUAAACAAAUUAGACAUAAGCUAACAUGUAUAUAAUUUAAUAAUACCCCAGGGGCCUCCGUGGCCGAGUGGUUAAGGUCGCUGACUUCAAAUCACUUGCCCCUCAUCGAUGUGGGUUCGAGCCUCACUCGGGGCGUUGAAUUCUUCAUGUGAGGAAGCCAUCCAGCUGGCUUACGGAAGGUCGGUGGUUCUACCCAGGUGCCCGCUCGUGAUGAAAUAAUGCACGGAGGGGCACCUGGGGUCUUCCUCCACCAUUAAAGCUGGAAAGUCGCCAUAUGACCUAUCAUGUGUCGGUGCGACGUUAAAUCCAAAAAAAAAAAAAAAAAAUAAUACCCCAACGUACAAAGUAUAUUGGGCUAUGUUGGAGUCACGCAGUCCAGUCCAUCCGUCCGUCCGUUCUUUUGUCCACCAUGGCCGCUGGGAUGAUUUUCAUAAAACUGACAUACAUUAUAAACCACAUCAAGACGAUGUACAGAGCGCUCAACCUAGGUCACAAGGCCCAAUGUCAAGGUUACUCGUGGAGGUCAAAGGUCAAAUAGCUUAGCUUCAUGUCCGCUCUAUAUUGUCUAAACGGCUUUGAAAAUAUUUAGCUCGACUGUUUGAAGAAUAAGGAGGAUUACUGUACUUGCCUUGGUGUCUGUGUCACUGUUACCGUUGCAUUAAAAGUUAACAUUUUAGGACAAGUUUCUCAGUGUCACUGUAUCUUCUUACUACUGCCCUUAUUUACAUCCAACUUCACAUAAGUGCUGGUCUUGGUAAGGGAAAGACAUCUACAUGUAUUAGUUUAGGAACAAGUAUCCUAAAUGUCGAAGUCACUGGCUUAAAUAUUGUGAUAGUACUGGUUAAAGUUUCAUGAUAAGCUUCUCAGUUUCACAAUAUAACCUCACAUAAGGAUUGAUCUUAGCACGUGGCAGAAAUCUUUUUGUUUAGGGUCACGUUGCUUAAAGGUCAAGGUUACUGGGAUCAGAUGUUGUAACAGUGUUGGUUAAAGUCUUAUGGCACAUUUCUCAAUUUGACUUACAUCUCAUAACGGAUCUUAGAACUGGUAUCCCUCAUGUCCUAUCCUUUUUAGCUAUACCCACACUUCAUCUACGUUCCUCCCGACACCCACCCAAAAUGCGUUCCAUACAAAAACUUAUAUUUCAUGUUUCCAUCAACUUCCCUACUCCGCUGUCUUCACCUACCUCCUCCACCCCAUUUCACUGAACCUUUACCCUCGUCCGUAACCCCCGCCCCCAUCCAUAAAAAGGAUAAAAAACUCCUUUUCGAUCUCCCACACUUAUAAUAAUAACAAUAUCUUGUUAAACAUUUUCCUUAUAGUCGAGCAGACACAAUUAACUCAGAUCACUAGGUCCACGGUCAAGGUUACACCUAAAAAUCAAAAGUCAUGAUGGCAACAUUUUACUUUCCCUUUAUCAAAGUGAGGUCUGGGGGUAUUAAUCGACUUCAGUGAUAGCCUUAGUUGAUCAGGUGUUAGUGGCAUAAAUGUGUAACAUUUGCUUUAUUUUUUUGGGGGGGGGGGGGAGGGGGGCGGGGUAGGAAUGGUCUCUGCCCGUCCGUAACACUUUCGUGUCCAGGCCAUAUCUCCUAAACCACUUGAAGGAUUUUCAUGAAACUUGGGUCAAAUGAUCACAUCAAGACGAUGUGCAGAACUUAUAAGUUUGCCAUGUCGGCUCAAGGUCAAGGUCACAACUCAAGGUCAAAGGUUUUAGCCUUCCAUUUCGUGUCCGCUCUGUAUCUCCUAAACCUCUUGAAGGAAUUUUAUAAAACUCUGGUCAAAUGAUCACCUCAUCAAGAGGAUAUGCAGAACUUAUGAGUCAGCCAUGCCAGCUCAAGGUCAAGGUCACAACUUAGGGUUAAAGGUUUGAGCCUUCCAUUUUGUGUCCGCUCUGUAUCUCCUAAACCCCUUGAAGGAUUUUCAUGAAACCUGGGUCAAAUGAUCACCUCAUCAAGAUGAUGUGCAGAACCUAUGAGUUAGCUAUGCCGGCUCAAGGUCAAGUUCAUAAAGGUUUGAGUCUUCCAUUUUGUGUCAGAUCUGUAUCUCCUAAACCGCUUGAAGGAUUUUCAUGAAACCUGGGCCAAAUGAUUACAACACCAAGAACUCAUGAUUCAGCUAUGUCAACUCAAGGUCAAGGUCACAACUCAAGGUCAAAGGUUUGAGCUCUAUAUCUCCUAAACCCCUUGAAGGAUUUUCAUUAAACUUUGGUCAAAUGAUCAACUCAUCAAGACGAUGUGCAGAAUUCAUACAUAAGUCAUGUCAGUUCAUUGUUAAGGUCACAGCUCAAGGUCAAAGGUUCAAGUUACCCUUUCACUAUUCAUAACAGUGGCGGGGGUUUUAGAUGUCUUUCAAACUGCCAUGUAAUAAUUGAUUUUAGGACGGGAGAUAUUUGUUUGUUUCAGUGUAAGAUCGAUCAAAUCAUUCUAAAUACAUCUCGCGAAAAUGUAAACUCCAGUGUUCAAGCGUGAAAAAUAAUCAAUUUUACUAUAAAUCAAAGAAAUUUUAUAUAAUGCAAUUAAAUAUAUGUGUACUAUUAAUCAAAGAAAUUUUAUAUUAUGCAGUUAAAUGUAUGUAUACCAUAACACAAAGAAAUUUUAUAUUAUGCAAUUAAAUAUAUGUGUAUUAUAAAGAAAUUUUAUAUUAUGCAAUUAAAUAUAUGUGUACUAUAAAUCAAAGAAAUUUUAUAUUAUGCAGUUAAAUAUAUGUGUACCAAAUUGUACACGUAUUACAAGUAUAACAUCUCACUCAACGCGCAACGUUACGCUUAAAAUUAUGGCAAUAUAUAUGUUGGAAAAAGUUAUAUAGUUCUACUAGAUUGAUUUCUUUUACAUUUUAAUAUAAUUAUUUUUUAAUGUUUUUUUUUCUAUAAAAAAACAGAUUAGAUUCUCUAUAUAAUUCAUAUUCUUUCGCGUUAAAUUGAUGUUGUGUGCAAGUGAAAACUGUAUUUGGAUUUCUUACUUCUGAAACAGUGGGUUUAUCAGGGUAUAAUCUAUCGUUUUAUUUCAACAAUAUCUGAAAAUUUGGCAAAAAAUUCAGUAAAACUAUCAAAUUUAGCGAUAAAAUCAUAGCUCUUUUAUUUAUCCAAACACACUUUCUACUGUACUUUGUCUGGUUGGUAUUAAUGUAGCUUUUAAAAGUAAUUUUAGCCUCAUUUCUUUUUCACUGAAUUUUACACUGUUUGGUAUAACUCUUAAUCGACACGUAACUUUAUGCACUAACAUUAACUUUUGCGGCUAAAAUGACUUUUAAAGCAACUCUGUCUAUUAUCAGGAACAAUGUGUUAAACUGGUAAAUCUUUAGGAACGAUGGGAGGAAAAAUAAGCUGGUUUUUAGUCCUCGCUUUAAAUAAUUACUGGGAUAUAACGUUAGAUUAUAACAUGAUAAACUAAUUGUUUCAAACGGAGAGAAAUCCAAAUAUGAUUUUUCACUAUAGUACGGAACAACACUUCAACGCAAAAGGAUAUUAAUUGUAUGUAAGGACUGGAAAUCUGCUUCAAAAAGAAAAAAAGAAGCAUAAUACUGCUUACAAAAACACGAAAAUAAUACACGCCAAACUAUUAAAAUCUAAAAGAAACAUGUAUAUCGCGUAGACAUAUUUAACUUUUUUCCAAUAGCAUUGUGACGUCAUGAAAUGUAGCGUGACGUUACGCAUGGCGCAGGUCUCAGCGCGGUUGAAUAAGAUAACAUGAGAUAAAUUUAUUUUAACUCUGCAAGAUAAUAAAGCAGUACAAAAUAAGCGAUGAGUUUUUCAAUUAGUUAAAAAUUAAGAAUUAAAAUGAACGUGCAAUACAUAUAUAAAUCUGGUAUAAUAAUAAUAAUAAUAAAUAUGAUGAUGAUGAUGAUGAUGAUGAUGAUGAUAAUAAUAAUAGAUAAGUUUUUCAAUUAAUUAAACAUUAAGAAUAAAAAUAAACGUGCAAUACAUAUAUACAUAUAUAAAUCUGGUAUAAUAAUAAUAAUAAUGAUAAUAUCAAUAAUAAUAAUAAUAAUAAUGAAUCGACUUUCACGUAAUGCCGAGUUAACUUUCAUAACACCAGUUUUCAGUUUAUUCGGUGAAAGAAAUUUCGAUCUUGUACGGAAACCAACACAUGCCCCAUUUCUAUAUAUUUUUACAGCAGUAGUAGGUAACAAACAUCCAUAUUUUGAGGAGAUACGGCUUAAAAGUAAAGUUACACAACUUUGGACUGAAAUCAUUUUAACUGUUGUUAGAUAUUUUUUAAUUUAUGUUCCCAAGAUAUUCCCUUGAAGAAAUUUAACUUCACAUUAUUUUUCCUCAAGACCAGGUGACAUGUUGAACACAUCACCUAUGCCUGAUGGUCAAAGGCCCAAGGUCCAAUUCAAGGUCAAAGGUCAGAUAUUUGGUUUUUGAUCCAUAACUUCUGUGCCUAGAAGGGUUUUAUUACUUAAUGGAUUUGUUUCAAACUUGAAAUAGUUGUUCAACAUCAUCACCCAUAUCAUAUGACACAAGGUUCAUAACUCUUGCACCAAUAUUUCAUAACUUAUGCCCCCUCCCUCCUCCCCCACUUUUUUACUUAGAAUUUAAGGUUAAAGUUUUUGUACACUUUCACUCUCAGUUAUUACUAAAUGGAUUUGAUUCAAACUUAAAACAGAUGUUCCACCUUAUCAACCACAUCAUGUGACACAAGGUGCUUAACUCUGCCACCAAUUUUUCAUGAAUUAUGUCCCCUUUUACUUAGAGUUUAAGGUUAAUUUUGAUGCAUUUCCACUAUAUUUUAGUUAUUACUAAAUGGAUUUGAUUCAAAUUUAAAAUAGGUGUUCCACCUCAUCAACCACACCAUGUGAUACAAGGCGCAUAGCUCUGACACAUAUUUUUCAUGACUUAUGUCCGCUUUUACUUAAGAUUUAAGGUUAAUUUUGAUGCAUUUUCAUCUCAUAUAUAUAACUUCUGUGCCUGAAAGGGUUUUAUUACUGAAUAGAUUUGAUUCAAACUUAAAUUACUCGUUCCACAUCAUCACCCACAUUAUAUGACACAAGGUACAUAACUCUUGCACCAAUAUUUCCUGAAUUAUGCCCCCUUUUUGGUAAAAAUUUUACUUAUUUCAUGUUUUGAUACACUUUUUCUGUACCUCUCUUAUAAUUUGAUAUUUUUAACACAGACUCAAGUUAUUGUGCAACAUUUAUCCACCACUGGCGUCAUUAAACACUACAGUGACAGUUCUUGACAGAUUUAAAUGUUUUUGGUACACACGUGUAACAUCAUAAAAUACAAAUUUGACGCAUUUUCACUAUAUCUCAGUUAAUACGAAAUGCAUUUGAUUCAAACUAGAAGUAGUUGUUCCACAUCAUUACCCACAUCAUAUGACACAAGGUGCAUAACUCUUGCAUCAAUAUUUCCUGAAUUAUAUCCCUUUUUGGUUAGAAUUAUAUCUAUAUAGUGUUUUCAUACACUUUAUCUGUACCUCUCUUAUAAUUUGAUAUUUUUAACACAGACUCAGGAUAUUGUGCAAUUUUCAUCCACCAUUUGAGUCAAAUCGAACACUUCAGUGACAAUUCUUGACAGAUGUUGUUUUUUUUUGUACGCAGGUGUAACAUCAUAAAAUACAGGUCAAGUUCGAUUUAAAUUGCACUUUCUUUUGGCCAUGUCUUUCUUAUGAUUGCCAUACUUCUAUGACAAGACUGUAUUGUGGGGGUAUUCGUCACUCCUGUGACAGUUCUAGUUCUGCUUGCUGGUUGUUUCUUAAUGACAGUCAAAACUUUAUAUAUAUUCCUUUGAUUACAUUUUUUCUGACGGAGUUUGACGUUUUUAGUGAAAGCAUAGUUAAAAGGAAUGAUGUUAUUGUACAUGUAUUAAAUUUUAAUUUAAUUUAAUUUAAAAACAUUUAUCAGAUUUUCAUUAUGAUUAUAUUUUACAGUGUCAUGUGUGACUACGUGUGCUAUUUAUUGCAAAUAUAUUUUACAGUGUCAUGUGUGACUACGUGUGCUAUUUAUUGCAG